RNAcentral lists this ribosomal RNA (666 nucleotides) under uncultured bacterium. RNAcentral describes it as "bacterial SSU rRNA". It matches the Rfam family "Bacterial small subunit ribosomal RNA", at positions 111 to 794 of the family's 1533-position model. The record is from RNAcentral.
UAACGCGUGGGUAACCUGCCUUAUACNGGGGGAUAACAGUUAGAAAUGACUGCUAAUACCGCAUAAGCGCACAGUACCGCAUGGUAGUGUGUGAAAAACUCCGGUGGUAUAAGAUGGACCCGCGUCUGAUUAGCCAGUUGGCGGGGUAACGGCCCACCAAAGCGACGAUCAGUAGCCGACCUGAGAGGGUGACCGGCCACAUUGGGACUGAGACACGGCCCAAACUCCUACGGGAGGCAGCAGUGGGGAAUAUUGCACAAUGGGGGAAACCCUGAUGCAGCGACGCCGCGUGGGUGACGAAGUAUUUCGGUAUGUAAAGCCCUAUCAGCAGGGAAGAAGAUGACAGUACCUGACUAAGAAGCCCCGGCUAACUACGUGCCAGCAGCCGCGGUAAUACGUAGGGGGCAAGCGUUAUCCGGAUUUACUGGGUGUAAAGGGAGCGUAGGUGGCAUGGCAAGCCAGAAGUGAAAACCCGGGGCUUAACCCCGCGGAUUGCUUUUGGAACUGUCAGGCUGGAGUGCAGGAGGGGCAGGCGGAAUUCCUGGUGUAGCGGUGAAAUGCGUAGAUAUCAGGAGGAACACCGGUGGCGAAGGCGGCCUGCUGGACUGUAACUGACACUGAGGCUCGAAAGCGUGGGGAGCAAACAGGAUUAGAUACCCUGGUAGU